This 391-nucleotide transfer-messenger RNA is filed under the name Candidatus Omnitrophota. RNAcentral's name for it is "2-02-FULL-52-10 sp016931055 Standard tmRNA". It matches the Rfam family "transfer-messenger RNA". From Rfam's summary of the family: Bacterial tmRNA, also known as 10Sa RNA or SsrA, is named for its dual tRNA and mRNA-like properties. Its role is to liberate the mRNA from a stalled ribosome. Lineage: Bacteria; Pseudomonadati. The record is from RNAcentral. RNAcentral also lists the same sequence under 1 other name.
GGGGGUGACAGGUCUCGACUUGAGAUGUUGUUGUCUAAGCGGCGUGCCGAGGACGCCUGGUGGGCCUCGUUAAUCAUCCGGGCACAAACAAAUGCAAACGAUAGUAUCCUUGCACAAGCCAACGAGAUCGUUAAUCCGAUCUUUGAGGCAGAAACAGUCUUAGCUUAAAAUUUAAGCUAAGCCCUUUUACAGAUCUUGCCUGUGGAUCUGUAAGAGGCCUUAACAGGCUAGCGUCCGCCAUGCCUUGUGGCGGAUGGCGAAACCAUAAGGCUGGUCCCGUUGUAUUCUGUUUGCCGAAGCCGGCGGGAUAAGACCAAAAGACAAACUACGCAUGUAGAAGCUUAUUCAAAGCACUUAAAGGACCCGGGUUCAAUUCCCGGCACCUCCACUU